GGAUAACACUUAGAAAUAGGUGCCUAUACCGCAUAAGCGCACGGUCCUGCAUGGGACAGUGUGAAAAACUCCGGUGGUGCAAGAUGGACCCGCGUCUGAUUAGCUGGUUGGCGGGGUAAAGGCCCACCAAGGCGACGAUCAGUAGCCGGCCUGAGAGGGUGGACGGCCACAUUGGGACUGAGACACGGCCCAAACUCCUACGGGAGGCAGCAGUGGGGGAUAUUGGACAAUGGGGGGAACCCUGAUCCAGCGACGCCGCGUGAGUGAAGAAGUAUUUCGGUAUGUAAAGCUCUGUCAGCAGGGAAGAAAGCAAUGACGGUACCUGACCAAGAAGCCCCGGCUAACUACGUGCCAGCAGCCGCGGUAAUACGUAGGGGGCAAGCGUUAUCCGGAAUUACUGGGUGUAAAGGGAGCGUAGACGGCUGUGCAAGUCUGGAGUGAAAGGCGGGGGCCCAACCCCCGGACUGCUCUGGAAACUGUAUGGCUGGAGUGCAGGAGAGGUAAGCGGAAUUCCUAGUGUAGCGGUGAAAUGCGUAGAUAUUAGGAGGAACACCAGUGGCGAAGGCGGCUUACUGGACUGUAACUGACGUUGAGGCUCGAAAGCGUGGGGAGCAAACAGGAUUAGAUACCCUGGUAGUCCACGCCGUAAACGAUGAUUACUAGGUGUCGGUGGGUAUGGACCCACCGGU
Molecule: ribosomal RNA, 689 nt
Filed under: uncultured bacterium
Lineage: Bacteria
Description: bacterial SSU rRNA
Rfam family: Bacterial small subunit ribosomal RNA
Source: RNAcentral